Molecule: long non-coding RNA, 2336 nt
Organism: Cotesia glomerata
Lineage: Eukaryota; Metazoa; Arthropoda; Insecta; Hymenoptera; Braconidae
Exons: 7
Source: RefSeq, a predicted model, not a curated record
UGAACGGUAUUGCACAUCAGUAAAUCUAAAAAUAGAAAUCAUUUAAUUUUGAUGUAUGGUUGGGAUCAGCGGAAUUCGAGGGUUUCUUUAACGUUGUAUUUCAACUGCAUAAUCUUCAGCUUCAUUAAUCAUCAAUAUAAUUUAUUUCUUCUAACAAUUUUAUCUUUAAAAAAAAUUGAGAUAUUGUACUUUAUACAUCAACAAAAUAAUAAUUAUAGUUAUUUAUUUUCAAUACUUCCGAGACUAAAUAGCAGAAUUAUCAAGUAAAGGUACAAGUAUUAAAUUACAGCAAAGCACACAAGUUACUGCACGUAAAAGAAUUCAUUAACGAUAACUAUAGAAUUCCAUAUAAUAAUAUAACCUUAUACACUAGUUGUAGCACAAAGCUUCUUUGUAACUCGCAGCGCUGCGUGUUAAAUUAAAAAAAAAUAUAUACUUGAGUUAACUUCUCUGAGCGUUGGUUCGAGAUCAGAUGGCUUCGUGGAACAUUCAUGGGAUUAAAACUAAGAAUCAACAAAUAAUAUAUAAGGAGGAUUUGUAAAAAACAAGUAAGAACCCUUUUUUGACGACAAAAGCGCCGCGGAAUGGUUUCACGCGUUUUUUAGAUGUUACGUUAGGUUGGAAUUCAAGAAUAUAAAACAAGAGAAUUCUCUUGAGAGAAGAUAAAAGUUUUACUGUGAAAAUUAGACAAUGAGAAUAGUCAACAAUUAUGCUAACAAAUAUUUAAAAAGGUAGAAGAGUUAAAAGUUUUAAAAGAAAACUAGUUGAGUAUGGAAAUAAAAUUGUGGUGAAUGUAUACAGGUAUAAGGUAUAAUAGAAUCAAGCUGAACAUAAAACGAUGAAAAAAUGAGAUACAGGACCAACGAUGAAUUUAAAACCAACAUAAAACUACAUGCGGUGGCUGAGUGACUCGGGUGCGUUAGGUUAUACUGGUAACUGGUAUACAACAAAAGUUAAUAGCAACAGACAAAAUAUGUUUAAAACACUAGAUGAGUUGAGUGAAGAGGAAACGGACAAAGGAAAUGAAAUAGCUACAGUACACGAGUGUGACUAGUGUAUUGUGUGGUAUGAACAAUACAAGGUCAUUGUUAAAAGAAAAUUUAUCAAGACAAUAGGUGUAAAAAUUGAGGUAAGAAGUAUAUAAUUAAGAUUACCAUUUAGUUCUUUUGAGUAAAUUUACAUUUUUUUCAGGCUAAAAAUAUCAAGUUAAAGUAAAGACAGUUUAAUUAAUCGAUUGUUUGUUUAAUAGAGGAUAUGGAUAUGAUCUAUGAUGAAUGAUAAAUGGCAAAGGCUCCGUGAAAAGGACUAAGUUUUCAUUAAAACUCAAUGUCUAUUCUGUUGUUCGCGUUUGCCCACUCUUCUAUGUUUGGUGCUCAUAAAAUUUAUGCUUCCUGUUCACUCUUACAAUGUGCUCGCUUGUUAAUGUAUACAUGUACAUGUGAAUGUAGUCACACACAUGGUUAAACGUGAACCGAAGCUUUAAACCAGCCUGCAUGUUUGCUGUAGAUGUCUUCAGACUGCGGCUCUUUUUUAGACCUGAUCUCAAAAGUAUUCUCAUCAUAUGUGAAGAUAAGAUUUUGGUGAGAAGAUUGAGGAUUGCUGAGAAGAGGCUGUGGCUUAGAAAUUAAACACGGGCAUGUCAGAAAAGUUAAUAGAGAUUGAUGUACGUGUUUAUUUUAUUUUUUUAAAUGUAACCCGCAUACCGCGGGUCUGAUCAUUGGAUUCGUCCAUGAGGGUUGAAAUGUUAAUAAAAAUUGGGAAUAAGAGUAAUAAUAAAAAUAGUAAUAAUAAUAUGAAAUUUUGUUUAUGAAGGAACAUUACAUUAUGAAAUUUGUCCAGUGCUGUGUCCAAACUUGGAGUCAAGAACACGUUUACGUUAUUGCACAUACACUUUUAACAAGCUAAUGUAAUGUAAUGUAAGGAAAUAAGUCAAAAAUAAAUGACUACUUUUUAAAAGCGUUCAAAAGCGACCCUGAAGUCUCACCUACAUACUAAAAGCUUAAUGAACUUCCAGAACGCACAAUUACGUUCAAUAUUUGCAUUAAUGAGAUUCACACUGAAAUCAGAUAUUCCUAUCGUAAAUCGCAAAUUCGCAGUGCUACAGAGCGAAACAAAAACAUCAAAAAUAAACACAAAGACAAAGUAAUUAAAAUUUUAAUAAUACUAAUUUGAAUUAAUAACUAUUUAGGACACAAGGCAAGGCCAUGGUCAUUAAAAACCUUGAGUUUAUAGUUACUACGUUAUAAAUUCCCAAAUAUUUGAACAACUUUUUAUUAUUUUUGUUAAUCUACCGAAGAAAUACUUGAACAAACAAUUAAAACUUUCGAUUUAACUUA